Molecule: small RNA, 871 nt
Filed under: Pan troglodytes (chimpanzee)
Lineage: Eukaryota; Metazoa; Chordata; Mammalia; Primates; Hominidae
Description: retained intron
Source: RNAcentral
UUGGGGAUAGCAGGGUAAGUCUUGGGUAUCUUACAUUUUCAUGGUAUCAUUUCUUUUUAAAUAGAGGCUUUUUUUCCUGUUACAGGAAAGGCCAUUGCUGCUCUGGAGCUGUGUGUGUGUGUGAUGACUAAAGCAAAGAAGCAGCCCUACAGUGGCACUCCUGGGUCUGGUGCACCACUCCUCAGGAGCAUCUCAGAUUCUGCCUGAUCAAUGCAGGAGUCUUGUACCUCUACUUCAGCAAUUACCUACAGAUUGAUGAGGAAGAAUAUGGUGGCACGUGGGAGCUCACGAAGGAAGGGUUUAUGACCUCUUUUGCCUUGUUCAUGGUCAUUUGGAUCAUCUUUUACACUGCCAUCCAUUAUGACUGAUGGUGUACAGCUCCCAAGUGCUCCCUAUCCAGUCCAAAGGACCCUCUUGAUUACAGCACAGGAACUUGAUCGUUGGGGAACCCCAGCCCCUUGGAACUUGGAAGACCCGUGUUUCCUGGACCGUGAAUCAGUAUGUUGGGCAUCAGUGUUUUCUGCAAGGGUUGUGACCUGAAACUUUUUAAAAACCACCCACCUUUGGGGAAGCAUUUCUGAAUUUAUCCAUCACCAACCAUUUCUUCUUGGAUACCAUCAAGUAACAGCUGUUUGCCAAGUGGAGCUGUCAUUUAAUUUGAUGCACCUCUGGAUUCAGAUGAAACAUUAAAUUGUCUUCCUCGAUUCUCCAUCGGGUGUACAGUUUUUAAACUAUCAAUGGCAUUUCAAGUCUUCUGAAACAGCAUGGCUGUAUGUGCGUGGUCCAUAGCACAGUACAGGCAGCAUCUAAUAACAGUUUCCAUUGUAGAAUGUUUUCAUAUACUUGAAUAAAUCAAAUCUUUAAUUGAGAA